UCAGUAACACGUAGUCAACAUGCCCAGGGGACGUGGAUAACCUCGGGAAACUGAGGAUAAACCGCGAUAAGUCACUACUUCUGGAAUGGGUAAUGACUCAAAUCUAUAUGGCCCCUGGAUUGGACUGCGGCCGAUCAGGCUGUUGGUGAGGUAAUGGCCCACCAAACCUGUAACCGGUACGGGCUCUGAGAGGAGGAGCCCGGAGAUGGGCACUGAGACAAGGGCCCAGGCCCUAUGGGGCGCAGCAGGCGCGAAACCUCUGCAAUAGGCGAAAGCCUGACAGGGUUACUCUGAGUGAUGCCCGUUAAGGGUAUCUUUUGGCACCUCUAAAAAUGGUGCAGAAUAAGGGGUGGGCAAGUCUGGUGCCAGC
RNAcentral lists this ribosomal RNA (370 nucleotides) under unidentified archaeon. RNAcentral describes it as "bacterial SSU rRNA". It matches the Rfam family "Archaeal small subunit ribosomal RNA", at positions 90 to 462 of the family's 1478-position model. The record is from RNAcentral.